GACGAACGCUGGCGGCGUGCUUAACACAUGCAAGUCGAACGGAAAGGCCCUGCUUUUGUGGGGUGCUCGAGUGGCGAACGGGUGAGUAACACGUGAGUAACCUGCCCUUGACUUUGGGAUAACUUCAGGAAACUGGGGCUAAUACCGGAUAGGAGCUCCUGCUGCAUGGUGGGGGUUGGAAAGUUUCGGCGGUUGGGGAUGGACUCGCGGCUUAUCAGCUUGUUGGUGGGGUAGUGGCUUACCAAGGCUUUGACGGGUAGCCGGCCUGAGAGGGUGACCGGCGACAAUGGGCCUGAGAUACGGACCAGACUCCUACGGGAGGCAGCAGUGGGGAAUAUUGCACAAUGGGCGGGAGCCUGAUGCAGCGACGCCGCGUGCGGGAUGACGGCCUUCGGGUUGUAAACCGCUUUCGCCUGUGACGAAGCGUGAGUGACGGUAAUGGGUAAAAAAGCACCGGCUAACUACGUG
RNAcentral lists this ribosomal RNA (468 nucleotides) under uncultured bacterium. RNAcentral's name for it is "partial 16S ribosomal RNA". It matches the Rfam family "Bacterial small subunit ribosomal RNA", at positions 28 to 507 of the family's 1533-position model. The record is from RNAcentral.